RNAcentral lists this ribosomal RNA (2909 nucleotides) under Aerococcus christensenii. RNAcentral describes it as "bacterial LSU rRNA". It matches the Rfam family "Bacterial large subunit ribosomal RNA". The record is from RNAcentral. Lineage: Bacteria; Bacillati; Bacillota; Bacilli; Lactobacillales; Aerococcaceae.
UGGUUAAGUGAAUAAGGGCGUACGGUGAAUGCCUUGGCACUAGGAGCCGAUGAAGGACGGGACGAACACCGAUAUGCUUCGGGGAGCUGUAAGUAAGCUUUGAUCCGGAGAUUUCCGAAUGGGGGAACCUCAUUGUUUUAAUCGACAAUGGCAAGUAAGUGAAUACAUAGCUUAUGAUGCGGUAGACGUGGUGAACUGAAACAUCUCAGUAGCCAUAGGAAAAGAAAGAAAAAUCGAUUUCCUAAGUAGCGGCGAGCGAACGGGAAAGAGGCCAAACCAAAGUGCUUGCACUUUGGGGUUGUAGGACUGAAGGAAGGUAUGACAAGAUCUAGCCGAAUGAUUUGGGAAAAUCAAUCGAAGAAGGUGAAAAUCCUGUAGGUGAAAGAUCGCGGCAGCCUGUCAGUAUCCUGAGUACGGCGGUACACGUGAAAUUCCGUCGGAAUCCACCGGGACCAUCCGGUAAGCCUAAAUACUACCUAGUGACCGAUAGUGAACCAGUACCGUGAGGGAAAGGUGAAAAGCACCCCGGGAGGGGAGUGAAAGAGUACCUGAAACCGUAUGCCUACAAGCAGUCAAAGCCCGUUAAAGGGUGAUGGCGUACUUUUUGUAGAACGGACCGGCGAGUGACGAUAGCAAGCAAGGUUAAGCGGAAGAAGCGGAGCCUUAGCGAAAGCGAGUCUGAAUAGGGCGUCAAGUUUGUUGUCGUCGACCCGAAACCAAGUGAUCUACCCAUGUGCAGGGUGAAGGUGUGGUAAAACACGCUGGAGGCCCGAACCCACGUCUGUUGAAAAAGGCGGGGAUGACGUGUGGGUAGCGGUGAAAUUCCAAUCGAACUUGGAGAUAGCUGGUUCUCUCCGAAAUAGCUUUAGGGCUAGCCUUGGAUGAUGACUAUUGGAGGUAGAGCACUGUUUGAUCGAGGGGUCCAUCUAGGAUUACUGACAUCUGAUAAACUCCGAAUGCCAAAAAGUUUUAGUCCAGGAGUCAGACGGCGAGUGAUAAGAUCCGUCGUCGAAAGGGAAAGAGCCCAGACCACCAGCUAAGGUCCCAAAGUAUCAGUUAAGUGGAAAAGGAUGUGGAGUUGCACAGACAACUAGGAUGUUGGCUUAGAAGCAGCCAUCAUUUAAAGAGUGCGUAAUAGCUCACUAGUCGAGUGACCCUGCGCCGAAAAUGUACCGGGGCUAAACUGAACACCGAAGCUGUGGAUCCGUGAGGAUGGUAGGAGAGCGUUCUAUAGGCAGAGAAGCUGGAUCGUGAGGACCAGUGGAGCGUAUAGAAGUGAGAAUGCCGGUAUGAGUAGCGAAAGACGGGUGAGAAUCCCGUCCACCGAAUGACUAAGGUUUCCUGGGGAAGGCUCGUCCUCCCAGGGUAAGUCGGGACCUAAGCCGAGACCGAAAGGGAUAGGCGAUGGACAACAGGUUGAGAUUCCUGUACUUGUUUUAUUUGUUUGAGCGAAGGAAGGACACAGGAGGCUAAGCUGAGCGCGGAGAUGGAAAGACGCGUCCAAGCAGUAAGUGUGAUGGUGAGUGAAAGGCUUGCCACAGAGUACACAAGCUGUGACGGGGAGAGAAAUCAAGUAUCGAAGCAGCCGAUGUCACACUGUCAAGAAAAGUUUCUAGUAAGAAUAAAGCAACCCGUACCGCAAACCGACACAGGUAGUCGAGUGGAGAACACUAAGGUGAGCGAGCGAACUCUCGUUAAGGAACUCGGCAAAAUGACCCCGUAACUUCGGGAGAAGGGGUGCUGACCGCAAGGUCAGCCGCAGUGAAUAGGCCCAAGCGACUGUUUAUCAAAAACAUAGGUCUCUGCCAAAUCGGAAGAUGACGUAUAGAGGCUGACGCCUGCCCGGUGCUGGAAGGUUAAGAGGAAGGGUAAGCUUUCGAGCGAAGCUCUGAAUUGAAGCCCCAGUAAACGGCGGCCGUAACUAUAACGGUCCUAAGGUAGCGAAAUUCCUUGUCAGGUAAGUUCUGACCCGCACGAAAGGCGUAACGAUUUGGGCACUGUCUCAACGAGAGGCUCGGUGAAAUUGUAGUACCAGUGAAGAUGCUGGUUACCCGCGACAGGACGGAAAGACCCCAUGGAGCUUUACUGUAGGUUGAUAUUGAAUGUUUGUGUGACAUGUACAGGAUAGGUAGGAGCCGAAGAGAUCGGGACGCUAGUUUCGAAGGAGGCACCCGUGGGAUACUACCCUUGUGACAUGACCAUUCUAACCCGCGACCAUAAUCUGGUCGGGAGACAGUGUCAGUCGGGCAGUUUGACUGGGGCGGUCGCCUCCUAAAGAGUAACGGAGGCGCCCAAAGGUUCCCUCAGAAUGGUUGGAAAUCAUUCGAAGAGUGUAAAGGCAGAAGGGAGCUUGACUGCGAGACCUACAAGUCGAGCAGGGACGAAAGUCGGGCUUAGUGAUCCGGUGGUUCCGCAUGGAAGGGCCAUCGCUCAACGGAUAAAAGCUACCCUGGGGAUAACAGGCUUAUCUCCCCCAAGAGUUCACAUCGACGGGGAGGUUUGGCACCUCGAUGUCGGCUCAUCGCAUCCUGGGGCUGAAGUCGGUCCCAAGGGUUGGGCUGUUCGCCCAUUAAAGCGGUACGCGAGCUGGGUUCAGAACGUCGUGAGACAGUUCGGUCCCUAUCCGUCGCGGGCGUUGGAAAUUUGAGAGGAGCUAUCCUUAGUACGAGAGGACCGGGAUGGACACACCGCUGGUGUACCAGUUGUUCCACCAGGAGCACAGCUGGGUAGCUAUGUGUGGACGGGAUAAGCGCUGAAAGCAUCUAAGCGUGAAGCCCCCCUCGAGAUGAGAUUUCCCAUCUCAAUAAGAGAGUAAGACCCCUGAAAGACGAUCAGGUAGAUAGGUUCGGAGUGGAAGCCUAGUAAUAGGUGAAGCGGACGAAUACUAAUCGGUCGAGGACUUAUCCAAA